UUUGGUUAAGUUAGAAAGGGCGCACGGUGGAUGCCUUGACACUAGGAGUCGAUGAAGGACGGGACUAACGCCGAUAUGCUUCGGGGAGCUGUAAGUAAGCUUUGAUCCGAAGAUUUCCGAAUGGGGAAACCCACCAUACGUAAUGGUAUGGUAUCCUUAUCUGAAUACAUAGGGUAAGGAAGACAGACCCAGGGAACUGAAACAUCUAAGUACCUGGAGGAAGAGAAAGCAAAUGCGAUUUCCUGAGUAGCGGCGAGCGAAACGGAACAUAGCCCAAACCAAGAGGCUUGCCUCUUGGGGUUGUAGGACAUUCUAUACGGAGUUACAAAGGAACGAGGUAGACGAAGCGACCUGGAAAGGUCCGUCGUAGAGGGUAACAACCCCGUAGUCGAAACUUCGUUCUCUCUUGAAUGUAUCCUGAGUACGGCGGAACACGUGAAAUUCCGUCGGAAUCUGGGAGGACCAUCUCCCAAGGCUAAAUACUCCCUAGUGAUCGAUAGUGAACCAGUACCGUGAGGGAAAGGUGAAAAGCACCCCGGAAGGGGAGUGAAAGAGAUCCUGAAACCGUGUGCCUACAAAUAGUCAGAGCCCGUUAACGGGUGAUGGCGUGCCUUUUGUAGAAUGAACCGGCGAGUUACGAUCCCGUGCGAGGUUAAGCUGAAGAGGCGGAGCCGCAGCGAAAGCGAGUCUGAAUAGGGCGUUUAGUACGUGGUCGUAGACCCGAAACCAGGUGAUCUACCCAUGUCCAGGGUGAAGUUCAGGUAACACUGAAUGGAGGCCCGAACCCACGCACGUUGAAAAGUGCGGGGAUGAGGUGUGGGUAGCGGAGAAAUUCCAAUCGAACCUGGAGAUAGCUGGUUCUCCCCGAAAUAGCUUUAGGGCUAGCCUUAAGUGUAAGAGUCUUGGAGGUAGAGCACUGAUUGGACUAGGGGUCCUCAUCGGAUUACCGAAUUCAGUCAAACUCCGAAUGCCAAUGACUUAUCCUUAGGAGUCAGACUGCGAGUGAUAAGAUCCGUAGUCAAAAGGGAAACAGCCCAGACCGCCAGCUAAGGUCCCAAAGUGUGUAUUAAGUGGAAAAGGAUGUGGAGUUGCUUAGACAACUAGGAUGUUGGCUUAGAAGCAGCCACCAUUUAAAGAGUGCGUAAUAGCUCACUAGUCGAGUGACUCUGCGCCGAAAAUGUACCGGGGCUAAAUACACCACCGAAGCUGCGGAUUGAUACCAAUGGUAUCAGUGGUAGGGGAGCGUUCUAAGGACAGUGAAGUCAGACCGGAAGGACUGGUGGAGUGCUUAGAAGUGAGAAUGCCGGUAUGAGUAGCGAAAGACGGGUGAGAAUCCCGUCCACCGAAUGCCUAAGGUUUCCUGAGGAAGGCUCGUCCGCUCAGGGUUAGUCAGGACCUAAGCCGAGGCCGACAGGCGUAGGCGAUGGACAACAGGUUGAUAUUCCUGUACCACCUCUUUAUCGUUUGAGCAAUGGAGGGACGCAGAAGGAUAGAAGAAGCGUGCGAUUGGUUGUGCACGUCCAAGCAGUUAGGCUGAUAAGUAGGCAAAUCCGCUUAUCGNNNNNNNNNNNNNNNNNNNNNNNNNNNNNNNNNNNNNNNNNNNNNNAAGGCUGAGCUGUGAUGGGGAAGCUCCUUAUGGAGCGAAGUCUUUGAUUCCCCGCUGCCAAGAAAAGCUUCUAGCGAGAUAAAAGGUGCCUGUACCGCAAACCGACACAGGUAGGCGAGGAGAGAAUCCUAAGGUGUGCGAGAGAACUCUGGUUAAGGAACUCGGCAAAAUGACCCCGUAACUUCGGGAGAAGGGGUGCUUUCUUAACGGAAAGCCGCAGUGAAUAGGCCCAAGCGACUGUUUAGCAAAAACACAGCUCUCUGCGAAGCCGUAAGGCGAAGUAUAGGGGGUGACACCUGCCCGGUGCUGGAAGGUUAAGGAGAGGGGUUAGCGUAAGCGAAGCUCUGAACUGAAGCCCCAGUAAACGGCGGCCGUAACUAUAACGGUCCUAAGGUAGCGAAAUUCCUUGUCGGGUAAGUUCCGACCCGCACGAAAGGUGUAACGAUUUGGGCACUGUCUCAACCAGAGACUCGGUGAAAUUAUAGUACCUGUGAAGAUGCAGGUUACCCGCGACAGGACGGAAAGACCCCGUGGAGCUUUACUGUAGCCUGAUAUUGAAUUUUGGUACAGUUUGUACAG
Molecule: ribosomal RNA, 2185 nt
Filed under: Bacillus thuringiensis serovar nigeriensis
Lineage: Bacteria; Bacillati; Bacillota; Bacilli; Caryophanales; Bacillaceae
Description: partial 23S ribosomal RNA
Rfam family: Bacterial large subunit ribosomal RNA
Source: RNAcentral